CCUACGGGCGGCAGCAGUGGGGAAUAUUGGACAAUGGGGGCAACCCUGAUCCAGCCAUGCCGCGUGUGUGAAGAAGGCCCUCGGGUUGUAAAGCACUUUCAGUGAGGAAGAACGCCUGGUGGUUAAUACCCAUCAGGAAAGACAUCACUCACAGAAGAAGCACCGGCUAACUCCGUGCCAGCAGCCGCGGUAAUACGGAGGGUGCGAGCGUUAAUCGGAAUUACUGGGCGUAAGGCGCGCGUAGGUGGCUUGAUAAGCCGGUUGUGAAAGCCCCGGGCUCAACCUGGGAACGGCAUCCGGAACUGUCAAGCUAGAGUGCAGGAGAGGAAGGUAGAAUUCCCGGUGUAGCGGUGAAAUGCGUAGAGAUCGGGAGGAAUACCAGUGGCGAAGGCGGCCUUCUGGACUGACACUGACACUGAGGUGCGAAAGCGUGGGUAGCAAACAGGAUUAGAUACCCCAGUAGUC
RNAcentral lists this ribosomal RNA (465 nucleotides) under Vreelandella stevensii. Its description in RNAcentral is "partial 16S ribosomal RNA". It matches the Rfam family "Bacterial small subunit ribosomal RNA", at positions 338 to 795 of the family's 1533-position model. The record is from RNAcentral. Lineage: Bacteria; Pseudomonadati; Pseudomonadota; Gammaproteobacteria; Oceanospirillales; Halomonadaceae.